This 253-nucleotide ribosomal RNA is filed under the name uncultured bacterium. RNAcentral describes it as "partial 16S ribosomal RNA". It matches the Rfam family "Bacterial small subunit ribosomal RNA", at positions 524 to 776 of the family's 1533-position model. The record is from RNAcentral.
UACGGAGGGUGCAAGCGUUAUUCGGAAUCAUUGGGCGUAAAGGGCGCGUAGGCGGUCUUUUAAGUCAGAUGUGAAAGCCCUCGGCUUAACCGAGGAAGUGCAUUUGAUACUAAGAGACUUGAGUAUGGGAGAGGGAAGCGGAAUUCCUGGUGUAGCGGUGAAAUGCGUAGAUAUCAGGAGGAACACCGGUGGCGAAGGCGGCUUCCUGGACCAAUACUGACGCUGAGGCGAGAAGGCGUGGGGAGCAAACAGG